AUAAUUUAAUUAAAAUAUUACAUUUUCAAUGUAAAAAUAAUACUAAGGUUUUU
RNAcentral lists this transfer RNA (53 nucleotides) under Phytosciara flavipes. RNAcentral's name for it is "tRNA-Glu". Lineage: Eukaryota; Metazoa; Arthropoda; Insecta; Diptera; Sciaridae. The record is from RNAcentral.